GAUGAACGCUGGCGGCGUGCUUAACACAUGCAAGUCGAACGGAAAGGCCCUGCUCUUGUUGCGUGCUCGUGUGGCGAACGGGUGAGUAACACGUGUGUAACCUGCCCUUGUCUUUGGGAUAACUUCAGGAAACUGGGGCUAAUACCGGAUAGGAGCUCCUGCUGCAUGGUGGGGGUUGGAAAGUUUCGGCGGUUGUGGAUGGACUCGCGGCUUAUCAGCUUGUUUGUCGAGUAGGUGAGUACCAAGGCUGUGACGGGUAGCCGGCAUGAGAGGGGUGACGGCGACAUUGGGACUGCGAUACGGCGCAGACUGCUACGGGAGGCAGCAGUCGGGAGUAUUGCACAAUGGGCGGAAGCCUGAUACAGCAGCGCCGCGUGCGGGAUGCCGGCCUUCGGGGUAUAAACCGCUUUCUAAUGUGACGAAGCGUGAGUGACGGUAAUGAGUCAAGGAGCACCGGCUAACUACGUG
Molecule: ribosomal RNA, 468 nt
Filed under: uncultured bacterium
Lineage: Bacteria
Description: partial 16S ribosomal RNA
Rfam family: Bacterial small subunit ribosomal RNA
Source: RNAcentral